AAAGCAAACGCGUGUCACCAUAUAAGCGUCACAGGACUACGGGUCUGAAUCUCCUUUCCAGCCGCUGGCCUUACUCUGAAGGACUUGAAUGGAUUCAAGGUUUCACACGAGGAAGCCUUUCAGGUGAAAAGGCUACAAAAAUGGCAAAGCAGAGCCCGUGCCCGUGUGACAUGCUGUUUCUCCUUCCAGACUUCAGAGGCGAUCCCUCGGCUGGUGCGAACGCCUGUAACUCUGCUACAAUAAGAUUAUUUUACUGCAGCGUAGGAGCUUGGCUGUACGCUAAAAAGGCAUAUGUAACGUGCUCAGAAGGGAUCCGACCAGCUGCUUGGCAGCAGAAGUAACUGAAAGGAACAACAGAAGCUUCACCCUAGUAGCACCAAAAACCGGAAGCAAGCCUGAAGUGUGAAAAAUAAGGAGAUGAGCAAUAGAAGAGCAACACAGAAGAGUAGUGUGUACCAAGAAGAGGACUGGAAACAAUAUUAUAGGUGGCUACAACGGCAUCGAACCUAUUUCCGCUAAUUAACUAUGACAGUGCAUUAAGCAAUAUGUUACCAGUCACCAAGGACCGUAUUUUUUUUUCCCCUCGAUGUACUAGUGACCUUUGUUUCUAUAUACUGGCACACAGCUAAACAGAGCUACACAUCUUACAGCUGAAAUUAUAACCCUUCCUUGCGAGCCACCAACUCCUUUCCAGUUACCCUCCAUUCUUACUGACCAGAUUCACAACAGGACUGUUGAGAAGGAAGCGCGCUUAAAAGUAAACACCAGCAUUCAAAGCUUUUACCUUUCAGCUACAGGGAACCCCUUUCACACAUGGGGAAAGCCAAGAUGCAGUUAAACUCCUGGGACAUUUCAGAGCCUCACGCUUGUCCUGACAAAGAGCACGGUUUUUCAGAAGACAAUAUGAUGCCACUGAAUGGAUUCCAGUUCAGAUUAGCAGGGUUUUCAUAUUAAGAAUGGGCUAAAGCCCACACAAGAGGUUAAUGAGGCUGACAAGUCAAGGCUUUACAUAAGCUGUUAAGACACCACAUUUAACUGUCAGACGCUUAUAAUCUAAAAUAAAUUUUCAUAGUCGCUCUCA
Molecule: long non-coding RNA, 1081 nt
Filed under: Struthio camelus australis
Lineage: Eukaryota; Metazoa; Chordata; Aves; Struthioniformes; Struthionidae
Description: lncRNA (ENSSCUG00000011005.1)
Source: RNAcentral